Molecule: ribosomal RNA, 492 nt
Filed under: uncultured bacterium
Lineage: Bacteria
Description: partial 16S ribosomal RNA
Rfam family: Bacterial small subunit ribosomal RNA
Source: RNAcentral
AGUGAACGCUGGCGGUAGGCCUAACACAUGCGAGUCGAACGGCAGCACAGUAAGAGCUUGCUCUUACGGGUGGCGAGUGGCGGACGGGUGAGGAAUACAUCGGAAUCUACUUUUUCGUGGGGGAUAACGUAGGGAAACUUACGCUAAUACCGCAUACGACCUACGGGUGAAAGCAGUGGAUCUUCGGACCUUGCGCGAUUGAAUGAGCCGAUGUCGGAUUAGCUAGUUGGCGGGGUAAAGGCCCACCAAGGCGACGAUCCGUAGCUGGUCUGAGAGGAUGAUAAGCCACACUGGAACUGAGCCACGGUCCAGAGUCCUAAGGGACGCAGCAGUGUGGAAUAUUGGACAAUGGGCGCGAGCCUGAUCCAGCCAUACCGCGUGGGUGAAGACGGCCUUCGGGUUGUAAAGCCCUUUUGUUGGGAAAGAAACGCAGCCGGUUAAUACCCCGCUGUUCUGACGGUACCCAAUGAAUAAGCACCGGCUAACUUCGUG